Long non-coding RNA from Gadus macrocephalus (Pacific cod), 3220 nucleotides. RefSeq lists it as uncharacterized. The record is from RefSeq and is a predicted model, not a curated record. The transcript is spliced from 2 exons. NCBI's taxonomy places the organism in Eukaryota, Metazoa, Chordata, Actinopteri, Gadiformes, Gadidae.
UGUCUUUUUUUGUAGUUUUUUGUCUCAUUUGGGUUUGUUGUUUUCUGUACGCAAUGACCUAAAGAAAAGAGAGACCACAGCUGCUGUUCAUCAACAUGCUCAGACACGCAGUGACGACACACACAAACACACAAUACACACCACACACACACACACACACACACAAUACAAUACACACACAUGCAAACUCACAAUACACACCACAGACACACACAAUACAAUACACACCCCACACACACACACACACACGUGCGCAAACUCACAAUACACACCACACACACACAAUACACACACCACACACACACACACACACACACACACACACACACACACACACACACACACACACACACACACACACACACACACACACAGGCACAGUGAGAGAAGGGCUUCAGUCCAGCUCGGGGUCUAUCUUAACCAUGUGUUGUAGGCUACAUUGUGUUGCACAUGUGCUGUAUUAUACUUCCUCCUCAUAUUCUUUAUACUCUCCACCGUCCUGCUCGUUUCAGCGUACACUGUGGCGAUCAGCUAUGGUUCAACUGAGAGCUGUGGGUUUGAAACCUGUGUUUAAGCACAGCCCCACAGUGUCAUGUAUUAAUGUAUGUGAUGUAUGCGGACAGGACCCAUCAGACCCAGCCUGCUGUCCACUCUACGGACUACGGAGUAUCCAUCCCCUCAGACUCUGUUCACCAGUGUUCGCUGCCGUACAGAGGGAGGGUUUGUGUUUUUAUAUUCUUUAUCAUUUGUGUAUCAUCUUGUGUGUGUGAGCCAGCAUUCUGACUACAGGAGGGAACGGGGGAUUCUUCGGAACGAAACCGAGUGUAAAAAUAGCCACCAGUUAUAAACAACAAGUCCUGAAGUGGUUUGUUUUUUUAUCGGAAGCCAAAACCAGCCAAAGACUUUUCAAAAUAAAAGUCCCAAGCAGUCAGUUAUGUAAUGCAGAUUAUCAGGACACUUAAAUAUUACAAAGCCCAACACAGUAUUACUAAUGUUCCUAUACUUGUGCGUCGUUGUUAUUGUAUUACUAUUGGUCAAAUAAUUGAGGAAAUGCGCCACUAUUUAUGACGCUUUGUAUCGUCGUUGCCAUGAACUUUUAUUUUUCAAGAGUUUUAUUAUUACUGCAUACUUGUAUGAAAUGGCCAACGAGAGGUUUUCUACUGCAAUUAAAUCAAAUAAAGGUGAUCCGAUACCUGCGAAACAUUCCAACAGAUGUAAAGGGAGAUUUUGUGGGAAUGGUAGACUUUUUAAAUAUUAUUAUCUACUUUGUAAAUAUUUGAUGACUAACUCUGAGUUAUGAGUGACAAUAAAUAUAAUGUUGAAUACCUGAUUUUGUGAGAUCUUAUGGUUUAAUUUAGAGACAUACUUUAUGAAUUUCCCUAUGUAGCAAAAAACAUAAACCAUUGCAGUAGUCAGAUAAGAUAGGUAUGUUGUAAUGAAAAUAAAUGAAUCACUCAACCAAGCAAUAGCAGAUGUAGGCGAUAUGUACAAAACGGCCUAUAUUCACUAGUUUAUUGAAAUAGCUCAACUUCGCAGACACCCCAAAAGGGCGAGGUCCCACCGAGAUUUGAACUCGGAUCGCUGGAUUCAAAGUCCAGAGUGCUAACCAUUACACCAUGGGACCGGAUGGUACAGCAACAACGACAUUUCCGAUUUUGUUAACAACCAAACAAUCAGUGCUAGUAUCACGGAGUUUUGAAAUAUUUAUUCAUGAUUAAUCCAUGCUGUAGUGCACGUAUACCCACAACAAAUGACCACUGCGUAGCGACUUCAACUGGUUCCACGGCGGUCUAACCACAAGACGGAGCUCGUGGAACGGGGUUAUCCCGAUAAGCAUUACUGGCGUGAGAGAGGGCGGGACUAGCGGCGAUAGAGGGGGCGGGACUUCCGAUAGACGGUAAUCCCUCGACAUGUUGCGGCCUUGGUCAAUCAUAUUUUUCAAAAAUCCCGAUAUUUAUUCCCCUUGUCGUUGUUGUUACUCUUCUUGUUAUUCCCUCUCUGGGGACUGUUAACUGGCGCGGACAGCGCAAAGGAAGUUUAAGAACGGAAUUUCGUUGCUGUGGACCGGGAUAACGCUACAACUCAGGAUCAUCUCUUGGCCUCGUAGAGAUUUUAUCGACCACUUUGCUUUCCAAAUAUAUUAGCUACAAUGAACGGCCGGAACACGAUGUACUACUUGGAUUACAAUAAUAUAGUUGAUUUCAGUGCUUCAAGACAAGAGGCAUGUCAUCCUCCGUUGUUCAAUGUAACUCGGCUUAAUAUACCAGAUCUGCUGGUCCCAAUCAGUCCACGCUGUCUCUGAUGGUGACUUUGGGCUUUGAGAAGCAGGUUAACGAUUUGACUGUGGCCAAUUGAAUGUGUUUACGAAUUUGUUGAAUUAUUAUCUAUCUAUCUGUGUGUUAGAACACGAUGUGGAUAUGAUAUCUAUGAUAUCCGUGCGAGUGUGAGUCCACUGUAAGCGGUGGGCGUUUUUGGGUGCAGUAAUAAGACGUGUCGACCGGGGGCGGAGUGGUGCAGAGGAUGACUGUAAUUAGGACUAAUUAGGAGACGAUAGUUUCAAAUAAAACUCAUCGAUGAUCUCUUAUGAGCAAACUUUUAAUUAUACUUCAUAAAAUACACGCCAAAUUAAACAGGUCAUCUAAAAAGCAUUUAAUGACAUUUUUCCGGUUAUGUUUUGAUUUCGCUCACAUCUCCGAUAUUAAAUCGCAUUGAUACACCAAUACACAAAGAUAAUCAAUGGCAAUUGUUAUUGUAAUAUUGUUCGGCCAAAAAAAUAUUUUAAAACAAUGGAAAUAAAUCAGGACCAACCUGCUAUUGGUCAAGUGGAUGUGUGUUCACGUUGCUCUUCUUUAGUUCCUGAACUCAAACCUCUGAACAUGCAUCGUUCUUGUUGCCAUAGUGAUUUUUUAGUCUGGAAUCCCAAAAUAUUUUUGGAGCCAUCAUGCGUCUCUAAGCAUGAACUGACCGACGCCAUCAGUGGGCAUUUCAGCCAUCUGCAAAGAACUAUAAUCAACUAUUCAAAUGUCUGUUUCAUCAAAUUAACACAAAGGCCCCUUCUUAAAAUCUUUUUUUAUUAGAAUCCCCUAUUAGUCAUUCUCGAGACCUUACGGAUAAUUCAUUCAUUCAUUCAAACUUCAUCUGAUCUAACUCCAAACAUUCAGUCCAAGAAAUAAAACAAUCCGGCUCACAGAACCAUAUUGAACGGAGAGGUACAUUUGAA